AGAGUUUGAUCAUGGCUCAGGAUGAACGCUGGCGGCGUGCCUAACACAUGCAAGUCGAGCGAUUUACUUCGGUAAAGAGCGGCGGACGGGUGAGUAACGCGUGGGUAACCUGCCCUGUACACACGGAUAACAUACCGAAAGGUAUGCUAAUACGAGAUAAUAUGCUUUUAUCGCAUGGUAGAAGUAUCAAAGCUUUUGCGGUACAGGAUGGACCCGCGUCUGAUUAGCUAGUUGGUGAGGUAACGGCUUACCAAGGCGACGAUCAGUAGCCGACCUGAGAGGGUGAUCGGCCACAUUGGAACUGAGACACGGUCCAAACUCCUACGGGAGGCAGCAGUGGGGAAUAUUGCACAAUGGGCGAAAGCCUGAUGCAGCAACGCCGCGUGAGCGAUGAAGGCCUUCGGGUCGUAAAGCUCUGUCCUCAAGGAAGAUAAUGACGGUACUUGAGGAGGAAGCCCCGG
RNAcentral lists this ribosomal RNA (461 nucleotides) under uncultured bacterium. RNAcentral's name for it is "bacterial SSU rRNA". It matches the Rfam family "Bacterial small subunit ribosomal RNA", at positions 8 to 496 of the family's 1533-position model. The record is from RNAcentral.